This 493-nucleotide ribosomal RNA is filed under the name uncultured bacterium. RNAcentral describes it as "partial 16S ribosomal RNA". It matches the Rfam family "Bacterial small subunit ribosomal RNA", at positions 29 to 523 of the family's 1533-position model. The record is from RNAcentral.
AUUGAACGCUGGCGGCAUGCUUUACACAUGCAAGUCGAACGGUAACAGGUUAAGCUGACGAGUGGCGAACGGGUGAGUAAUGCAUCGGAACGUGCCCGAUCGUGGGGGAUAACGCAGCGAAAGCUGCGCUAAUACCGCAUACGAUCUGAGGAUGAAAGCGGGGGACCGUAAGGCCUCGCGCGAUCGGAGCGGCCGAUGUCAGAUUAGGUAGUUGGUGGGGUAAAGGCUCACCAAGCCAACGAUCUGUAGCUGGUCUGAGAGGACGACCAGCCACACGGGGGCGGAGACAGGGCCCAGACUCCUACGGGAGGCAGCAGUGGGGAAUUGUGGACGAUGGGCGAAAGCCGGAUCCAGCAAUGCCGCGUGCAGGAAGAAGGCCUUCGGGUUGUAAACUGCUUUUGUACGGAGCGAAAAGGCUCUCUCUAAUACAGGGGGCUCAUGACGGUACCGUAAGAAUAAGCACCGGCUAACUACGUGCCAGCCGCCGCGGUAA